RNAcentral lists this ribosomal RNA (485 nucleotides) under uncultured bacterium. Its description in RNAcentral is "partial 16S ribosomal RNA". It matches the Rfam family "Bacterial small subunit ribosomal RNA", at positions 30 to 507 of the family's 1533-position model. The record is from RNAcentral.
AUUGAACGCUGGCGGCAGGCUUAACACAUGCGAGUCGAGCGGGGAAAGGUAGCUUGCUCCCUGACCUAGCGGCGGACGGGUGAGUAAUGCUUAGGAAUCUGCCUAUUAGUGGGGGACAACAUCUCGAAAGGGAUGCUAAUACCGCAUACGUCCUACGGGAGAAAGCAGGGGACCUUCGGGCCUUGCGCUAAUAGAUGAGCCUAAGUCGGAUUAGCUAGUUGGUGGGGUAAAGGCCUACCAAGGCGACGAUCUGUAGCGGGUCUGAGAGGAUGAUCCGCCACACUGGGACUGAGACACGGCCCAGACUCCUACGGGAGGCAGCAGUGGGGAAUAUUGGACGAUGGGGGGAACCCUGAUCCAGCCAUGCCGCGUGUGUGAAGAAGGCCUUUUGGUUGUAAAGCACUUUAAGCGAGGAGGAGGCUACCGAGAUUAAUACUCUUGGAUAGUGGACGUUACUCGCAGAAUAAGCACCGGCUAACUCUGUG